UGACAGCGGCAGGCCACAUAGGCAAGGAAGCUGGUGCAUGCAGUGUCUCUGGGCAAGGUUAUGCAACCUUCAUCUCCUCGUCCUCCAGGCAGCACAAGCCAUUGUGGAAUCUCCACCAGGUGUACAGAACGGUGCCUCUGCGUCCUGCCACUCAGGACCUCUCAAGUCCCCGAUGUGAUGGCUCCUCAGCAUGAUCAGGAGAAAUUCCAUGAUCUUGCUUAUUCCUGUCUUGGGAAGUCCUUCUCCAUGUCUAACCAAGAUCUAUAUGGCUAUAGCACCAGCUCUUUGGCUCUUGGCUUGGCAUGGCUAAGUUGGGAGACCAAAAAGAAGAAUGUACUUCAUCUGGUUGGGCUGGAUUCCCUCUGAUAAGCCUUCCCAGUUGACUGAAAGAUGAGGCUAGGCUCUAGCAAGU
Molecule: long non-coding RNA, 412 nt
Filed under: Homo sapiens (human)
Lineage: Eukaryota; Metazoa; Chordata; Mammalia; Primates; Hominidae
Description: non-protein coding lnc-C1orf61-2:25
Source: RNAcentral